Molecule: ribosomal RNA, 494 nt
Filed under: uncultured bacterium
Lineage: Bacteria
Description: partial 16S ribosomal RNA
Rfam family: Bacterial small subunit ribosomal RNA
Source: RNAcentral
GACGAACGCUGGCGGCGUGCUUAACACAUGCAAGUCGAACGGAAAGGCCUGCUUUCCCUUGUGGAUUGCGGGUACUCGAGUGGCGAACGGGUGAGUAACACGUGAGUGAUCUGCCCCCAACUUGGGUAUAAGCCUGGGAAACUGGGUCUAAUUCCCGAUAGGACUGCAGGGUGGUGCCUGUGGUGGAAAACGAUUUUCUAGUGGUUGGGGCUGAGCUCGCGGCCUAUCAGCUUGUUGGUGGGGUAAUGGCCUACCAAGGCGGCGACGGGUAGCCGGCCUGGGAGGGUGGACGGCCACAUUGGGACUGAGAUACGGCCCAGACUCCUACGGGAGGCAGCAGUGGGGAAUAUUGCACAAUGGGCGGAAGCCUGAUGCAGCGACGCCGCGUGAGGGAUGACGGCCUGCGGGUUGUAAACUCCUUUCGACCGCGAGGAAGCCACCUGGAUGGAAGGGUGGUGACGGUAGUGGUAGAAGAAGCACCGGCUAACUACGUG